This 324-nucleotide ribosomal RNA is filed under the name uncultured Chloroflexota bacterium. Its description in RNAcentral is "bacterial SSU rRNA". It matches the Rfam family "Bacterial small subunit ribosomal RNA", at positions 28 to 351 of the family's 1533-position model. Lineage: Bacteria; Bacillati; Chloroflexota. The record is from RNAcentral.
GAUGAACGCUGGCGGCGUGCCUAAUACAUGCAAGUCGAACGGUGUAUAUGAGCAAUCGUAUACAUAGUGGCGAACGGGUGAGUAACGCGUUGGUGACCUGCCCCGAAGCGGGGGACAACAGCUCGAAAGGGCUGCUAAUACCCCAUACAGUUGCGAGAGAUUAGAAACUUGCAACGAAAGGAGUAAUCCACUUUGGGAGGGGCCUGCGUCCCAUCAGCUAGUUGGUAGGGUAACGGCCUACCAAGGCGUAGACGGGUAGGGGACCUGAGAGGGUGGCCCCCCACAAUGGAACUGAAACACGGUCCAUACACCUACGGGUGGCUG